Molecule: ribosomal RNA, 292 nt
Filed under: uncultured bacterium
Lineage: Bacteria
Description: partial 16S ribosomal RNA
Rfam family: Bacterial small subunit ribosomal RNA
Source: RNAcentral
GUGUCAGCCGCCGCGGUAAAACGUAGGGGGCGAGCGUUAUCCGGAUUUACUGGGCGUAAAGCGCGUGUAGGCGGUUGGGAAAGUUGGACGUGAAAGCUCCCGGCUUAACUGGGAGAGGUCGUUCGAUACUACCCGGCUUGAGGUUGGAAGAGGAGAGUGGAAUUCCCGGUGUAGUGGUGGAAUGCGUAGAUAUCGGGAGGAACACCAGUGGCGAAAGCGGCUCUCUGGACCAAUUCUGACGCUGAGAUGCGAAAGCGUGGGGAGCAAACGGGAUUAGAAACCCGCGUAGUCC